GACGAACGCUGGCGGCGUGCCUAAUACAUGCAAGUAGAACGCUGAAGAGAGGAGCUUGCUCUUCUUGGAUGAGUUGCGAACGGGUGAGUAACGCGUAGGUAACCUGCCUUGUAGCGGGGGAUAACUAUUGGAAACGAUAGCUAAUACCGCAUAACACUGGAUGACACAUGUCAUUUAUUUGAAAGGGGCAAUUGCUCCACUACAAGAUGGACCUGCGUUGUCUUAGCUAGUAGGUGAGGUAAUGGCUCACCUAGGCGACGAUACAUAGCCGACCUGAGAGGGUGAUCGGCCACACUGGGACUGAGACACGGCCCAGACUCCUACGGGAGGCAGCAGUAGGGAAUCUUCGGCAAUGGGGGCAACCCUGACCGAGCAACGCCGCGUGAGUGAAGAAGGUUUUCGGAUCGUAAAGCUCUGUUGUAAGUCAAGAACGGGUGUGAGAGUGGAAAGUUCACACUGUGACGGUAGCUUACCAGAAAGGGACGGCUAACUACGUG
This 497-nucleotide ribosomal RNA is filed under the name uncultured bacterium. Its description in RNAcentral is "partial 16S ribosomal RNA". It matches the Rfam family "Bacterial small subunit ribosomal RNA", at positions 28 to 507 of the family's 1533-position model. The record is from RNAcentral.